UUGUCCGUACUGAUGUGAUGGGUUCUUACCUUCUGAAUAACCAGCAUGUCAUUAAUUUGGUGUGUUGGGGAAGCAGGACUAUUACCUUGAAAAAAUUAGAGUGCUCAAAGCAGGCUAGUGCCUGAAUACAUUAGCAUGGAAUAAUAAAAUAGGACGGCAUGGUUCUAUUUUGUUGGUUUCUAGGAUCACCGUAAUGAUUAAUAGGGAUAGUUGGGGGCAUUAGUAUUCAAUUGUCAGAGGUGAAAUUCUUGGAUUUAUUGAAGACUAACUUCUGCGAAAGCAUUUGCCAAGGAUGUCUUCAUUAAUCAAGAACGAAAGUUAGGGGAUCGAAGACAAUCAGAUACCGUCGUAGUCUUAACCAUAAACUAUGCC
Molecule: ribosomal RNA, 372 nt
Filed under: uncultured Glomeromycotina
Lineage: Eukaryota; Fungi; Glomeromycota
Description: SSU rRNA
Rfam family: Eukaryotic small subunit ribosomal RNA
Source: RNAcentral